Molecule: long non-coding RNA, 316 nt
Organism: Bacillus rossius redtenbacheri
Lineage: Eukaryota; Metazoa; Arthropoda; Insecta; Phasmatodea; Bacillidae
Exons: 2
Source: RefSeq, a predicted model, not a curated record
ACGAGCGUGAGCGGUGUGGCACUUGCAGCCAGUUGCAGAAAGUAGCGUUGCUGCCGCUAGAUUCUUGUGACCAUAGAGUAAAUAAAGUACUAAUGUCACUCGCUCGGCACACUGCGACACAGUGUGUCGCAAACUAUACUAUCAUAGAUAUUGAGGGUUUCGUGGUCGGUAUGCCAGAAUGAACAGUGGAAAAUGCAUUACGAGCACACUUCUAGUCUAUCCAAGAAUUAUUAUUGUACCCUGUGCUUACAAGCAAAUAAUAUUUGUGAUCUGAAUUUUUUAUAAUAAAUGUGCCUAUUAAGACACUGGGAACUCA